AUAGAACAGUAACUGUCCUGCAAAGAACUUUAGACCCCACAGCUCGCUUGCAUAUUAAUUCUUUCAUUCGCAUUCCAGUAGCUUUUGAAUACUCAUAAGGAUUAAAUGUACUGUGAUUACUCAGAUGGCCUGUAACUCAUGGGGGCUUCUGUGACCACGCCCACUCGAACGACUUCCUUCGCAGGCCACGCCCCGCUCACCUGUCCGCCAGGUCGUGAGGCAGAGAAGGCAGCUGAUGUCUUCGGACAGGAGGUGAUUCCCACUAAAUAAUGGGAGUAUAAACGUAAGUAUAUACAUUUUAUUCAUUUCUGUACACGAAUCUCAUUGAAAUCCGUUCUGCGCUAUCUGCCCUGGUGAAAACGCCGUUUGCUGCUAUGAAACCUUGGUUAAAUGAUCUUUAAAUGGUCAUUUAAAUGCAUGUGUUCUUGUGUUUCCAGUUUGGUGUCUUCGGGCAGGACAUACUUGGCUCAGCUGCUGGAAUGAUCUAUGUUGUACGAUCUGGUUGCAGUGCGGUGACGGCACCGCCCUCCGCUGCGCGUAACAGGGAUGCUGGCCUCCGGGGCUAAAGAAGGAAAUGCAACGAAGUUCCAGUCUUCAUUCUGGUCGCUGCUUCCACGGAUUGCCUUGGAGAAACAGGAACAUGCUCUGCUUUUCCGUGCAGUUGCAUGCAAAUCUUUUCGUAGUCUGUUGAUUUUGUUAAAAGUAUUUAGCGUUCGUGUGGCCGUGCUUUGACACUUUGUAAUCGAAAUGCCUGUUCAUUUUCACUUGAAAGCCUGUGCAUCAGUCAUACUGCAAUGCUUUGUUUUGUAUGCAUUUUUUACUCAAUAAAUUAUUCAUUGGAGUUUGAUUUUGUUCUUUCAUUUCUCAUGCAGAGCUCUGUACCCCCUUGGCCCUGAAAAACCUUGAUGUUGGUGAGUUUCUUGGCGGAGAGAUUUUGCGAACUGUUUCUGAGAAACGAUGCGAUGAGCUGUUUUAUCCUUGGAGUCACCUACCGCAAGGGGACACCCUAUCGCAUUGUGACUUGGAAUCUGCAGAGGCUACCCCCUUUUUAAGUGUGCCCAGAUUGUCCCGCCAAAAAACCGUCCACUCCUCUUUUUGGAGAGGGGGGCUGGAUGAAUGACC
Molecule: long non-coding RNA, 1122 nt
Filed under: Lepisosteus oculatus (spotted gar)
Lineage: Eukaryota; Metazoa; Chordata; Actinopteri; Semionotiformes; Lepisosteidae
Description: lncRNA (ENSLOCG00000022916.1)
Source: RNAcentral